This 484-nucleotide ribosomal RNA is filed under the name uncultured bacterium. RNAcentral's name for it is "partial 16S ribosomal RNA". It matches the Rfam family "Bacterial small subunit ribosomal RNA", at positions 30 to 507 of the family's 1533-position model. The record is from RNAcentral.
AUUGAACGCUGGCGGCAGGCCUAACACAUGCAAGUCGAGCGGAUGAAGGGAGCUUGCUCCUGGAUUCAGCGGCGGACGGGUGAGUAAUGCCUAGGAAUCUGCCUGGUAGUGGGGGAUAACGUCCGGAAACGGGCGCUAAUACCGCAUACGUCCUGAGGGAGAAAGUGGGGGAUCUUCGGACCUCACGCUAUCAGAUGAGCCUAGGUCGGAUUAGCUAGUUGGUGGGGUAAAGGCUUACCAAGGCGACGAUCCGUAACUGGUCUGAGAGGAUGAUCAGUCACACUGGAACUGAGACACGGUCCAGACUCCUACGGGAGGCAGCAGUGGGGAAUAUUGGACAAUGGGCGAAAGCCUGAUCCAGCAAUGCCGCGUGUGUGAAGAAGGUCUUCGGAUUGUAAAGCACUUUAAGUUGGGAGGAAGGGCAGUAAGUUAAUACCUUGCUGUUUUGACGUUACCAACAGAAUAAGCACCGGCUAACUUCGUG